This 454-nucleotide ribosomal RNA is filed under the name uncultured bacterium. RNAcentral's name for it is "bacterial SSU rRNA". It matches the Rfam family "Bacterial small subunit ribosomal RNA", at positions 340 to 786 of the family's 1533-position model. The record is from RNAcentral.
UACGGAAGGCAGCAGUGGGGAAUAUUGCACAAUGGGCGCAAGCCUGAUGCAGCCAUGCCGCGUGUAUGAAAAAGGCCUUCGGGUUGUAAAGUACUUUCAGUCGUGAGGAAGGUGUUAAGGUUAAUAACCUUAGCAAUUGACGUUAGCGACAGAAGAAGCACCGGCUAACUCCGUGCCAGCAGCCGCGGUAAUACGGAGGGUGCGAGCGUUAAUCGGAAUUACUGGGCGUAAAGGGCACGCAGGCGGUUAAUUAAGUUGGAUGUGAAAUCCCCGGGCUUAACCUGGGAAUGGCAUUCAAGACUGGUUAGCUAGAGUCUUGUAGAGGGGGUAGAAUUCCAUGUGUAGCGGUGAAAUGCGUAGAGAUGUGGAGGAAUACCGGUGGCGAAGGCGGCCCCUGGACAAAGACUGACGCUCACGUGCGAAAGCGUGGGGAGCAAACGAGGGAUUAGAUACC